This 1406-nucleotide ribosomal RNA is filed under the name Weissella confusa. RNAcentral's name for it is "bacterial SSU rRNA". It matches the Rfam family "Bacterial small subunit ribosomal RNA", at positions 57 to 1434 of the family's 1533-position model. Lineage: Bacteria; Bacillati; Bacillota; Bacilli; Lactobacillales; Lactobacillaceae. The record is from RNAcentral.
GUGGUUCAACUGAUUUGAAGAGCUUGCUCAGAUAUGACGAUGGACAUUGCAAAGAGUGGCGAACGGGUGAGUAACACGUGGGAAACCUACCUCUUAGCAGGGGAUAACAUUUGGAAACAGAUGCUAAUACCGUAUAACAAUGACAACCGCAUGGUUGUUAUUUAAAAGAUGGUUCUGCUAUCACUAAGAGAUGGUCCCGCGGUGCAUUAGCUAGUUGGUAAGGUAAUGGCUUACCAAGGCGAUGAUGCAUAGCCGAGUUGAGAGACUGAUCGGCCACAAUGGGACUGAGACACGGCCCAUACUCCUACGGGAGGCAGCAGUAGGGAAUCUUCCACAAUGGGCGAAAGCCUGAUGGAGCAACGCCGCGUGUGUGAUGAAGGGUUUCGGCUCGUAAAACACUGUUGUAAGAGAAGAAUGACAUUGAGAGUAACUGUUCAAUGUGUGACGGUAUCUUACCAGAAAGGAACGGCUAAAUACGUGCCAGCAGCCGCGGUAAUACGUAUGUUCCAAGCGUUAUCCGGAUUUAUUGGGCGUAAAGCGAGCGCAGACGGUUAUUUAAGUCUGAAGUGAAAGCCCUCAGCUCAACUGAGGAAUUGCUUUGGAAACUGGAUGACUUGAGUGCAGUAGAGGAAAGUGGAACUCCAUGUGUAGCGGUGAAAUGCGUAGAUAUAUGGAAGAACACCAGUGGCGAAGGCGGCUUUCUGGACUGUAACUGACGUUGAGGCUCGAAAGUGUGGGUAGCAAACAGGAUUAGAUACCCUGGUAGUCCACACCGUAAACGAUGAGUGCUAGGUGUUUGAGGGUUUCCGCCCUUAAGUGCCGCAGCUAACGCAUUAAGCACUCCGCCUGGGGAGUACGACCGCAAGGUUGAAACUCAAAGGAAUUGACGGGGACCCGCACAAGCGGUGGAGCAUGUGGUUUAAUUCGAAGCAACGCGAAGAACCUUACCAGGUCUUGACAUCCCUUGACAACUCCAGAGAUGGAGCGUUCCCUUCGGGGACAAGGUGACAGGUGGUGCAUGGUUGUCGUCAGCUCGUGUCGUGAGAUGUUGGGUUAAGUCCCGCAACGAGCGCAACCCUUAUUACUAGUUGCCAGCAUUCAGUUGGGCACUCUAGUGAGACUGCCGGUGACAAACCGGAGGAAGGUGGGGAUGACGUCAAAUCAUCAUGCCCCUUAUGACCUGGGCUACACACGUGCUACAAUGGCGUAUACAACGAGUUGCCAACCCGCGAGGGUGAGCUAAUCUCUUAAAGUACGUCUCAGUUCGGAUUGUAGGCUGCAACUCGCCUACAUGAAGUCGGAAUCGCUAGUAAUCGCGGAUCAGCACGCCGCGGUGAAUACGUUCCCGGGUCUUGUACACACCGCCCGUCACACCAUGAGAGUUUGUAACACCCAAAGCCGGUGGG